CCUACGGGAGGCAGCAGUGAGGAAUAUUGGUCAAUGGACGAGAGUCUGAACCAGCCAAGUAGCGUGAAGGAUGACUGCCCUAUGGGUUGUAAACUUCUUUUAUAUGGGAAUAAAAUGUUCCACGUGUGGGAUUUUGUAUGUACCAUAUGAAUAAGGAUAGGCUAACUCCGUGCCAGCAGCCGCGGUAAUACGGAGGAUCCGAGCGUUAUCCGGAUUUAUUGGGUUUAAAGGGAGCGUAGGUGGAUUGUUAAGUCAGUUGUGAAAGUUUGCGGCUCAACCGUAAAAUUGCAGUUGAAACUGGCAGGCUUGAGUACAGUAGAGGUGGGCGGAAUUCGUGGUGUAGCGGUGAAAUGCUUAGAUAUCACGAAGAACUCCGAUUGCGAAGGCAGCUCACUGGACUGCAACUGACACUGAGGCUCGAAAGUGUGGGUAUCAAACAGGAUUAGAUACCCCAGUAGUC
RNAcentral lists this ribosomal RNA (460 nucleotides) under uncultured bacterium. Its description in RNAcentral is "partial 16S ribosomal RNA". It matches the Rfam family "Bacterial small subunit ribosomal RNA", at positions 338 to 795 of the family's 1533-position model. The record is from RNAcentral.